Ostrea edulis (European flat oyster) is the source of this 3545-nucleotide long non-coding RNA. RefSeq lists it as uncharacterized. Lineage: Eukaryota; Metazoa; Mollusca; Bivalvia; Ostreida; Ostreidae. The record is from RefSeq and is a predicted model, not a curated record. The transcript has 2 exons.
AUAUCUGUUGAUUACAAUUCAGAUACUGGGUUUGUGAGUUGAAAUUAAUCAAAUGAGAGUGGUAAAAAUUCAACAUUAUAUCGUAUAAUUUACAUAUCAGGAUUUUAUCCAGGUACGUUAUUCUGGUUUGUGGAAUGCUAAUUGAUACUAAGUUAGAAUAAUCUAAGCUGUAUACCAAAGUAGGUCUUCAUGGGGCUUUACGGCUCUAUGCAUCGCAAAUAGAGAUCGGGUUCAAUGCGUCGGGUGUGGGAUUCACUCAAUAUUAUAUGCUGAGCGCGAAAGUUGAUAUCAACAGACGCCAUGAUGUGAUACCGGUAAACAUCUUGAAUAUGAAUCGAGAACAGGAGUUGAUGCAGAUAUUCUGAGGAAAAUCUUCCAAUCAUUGAGUAAGUGAUUUACUGUGUAUCUUAUAGUUAUAAACUCUCUAAUAUAUUGUUCAAAACGAAACUGACCAUCGCUCAUUGUAUGUUGUUGCGUCAAAUCUUGCAAGUCAGUGUUUACGUUUAUAAAUUUACAUGCUUCAUUCAAUUCUUUGAAAUUAUGUGGAAUUUAUUUUUUUUUAAAUUUCCUUUGUAUGAGAUUAGACUCCUUCUAGUUGCAUUAUCGUAGCCAUCGCGGAUUUUUUUUUCUUCUUAUACCUUUGGACAGGACCAUAGAUCUAUAGGCACUUUAAAAAAUGAAGAGAGAGCCUAGAGGGGAAAAGGCCGAAAAACAAACAAAUAAAAUAAGCCUAUUUCCGUAAUAAUUAUGCUAUUUUUUGUUUACUAUCUACUCGGGUUAUAUUUGCAAAACUGAAUAGUUUAUUCAGUAAAUGAAUGGUUGAUUAUUUUUUUAAUUUAAAUGCUUAUGAUUUGAACCCUGAUGUCCAGUUAGAAAAGUUAAACUGCAUUAUGAUCAGGGAUGUGACUUCCAGAAUCUCAAUUUUGUCACUCCAUCAAUGCAUAUACGUUAUUAAAAUGGAUUGAAGAUCUUGUCUUGGCAAUAAAGUUAAUUUGUACGUAAAGUCUGGUCAGCAUGAUAUUAACAGUUGUACAUCAAAUAUUGCAUUUAUUAGCCCAAUGGGCUAUAACGCAACAUUGAUUAUUUCUCGGCUUUGAAAAUCGGUGGCCCCAGGUGUCGGGUGACGGUAAUUACAUGUACACACCCCUGAAUGAUUCCUCCUAUGUUAGACAUUUUGCAAACUUUUAUAUAGGACGGCCAAUGGUAUCUCGUAAUUAUUUACAAUUUUAUAUCUUUUUCAGAAUAUAUUUCAUGAUAGUCGUGAAGAUACAGAAGUUGUGAUGGUGUGUUGAUAGGCUGUCUUCAACUUGCCAUAUCUGAGAGUUCCAACAUGCAGGCCUGGAUUAAUGUUUUAUCACAACAAAUGGAUGGGACAGUAGAGUUGUUGCGGACAAUAUGUGAUUGUGAUGACCAAGUACUGAACAAGUGGAAGAUUAGAAGAAGGUCCAGAAUUCAAUCAUGUUUUUGAUUCUAAGGCGCAGACAGCAUGGAGAUAGUCCUAUUAUUCUCCCAUUCAUCUAUGAGGGAGAAACUUGUGUAAAUGUUUACAGUGUUCUCCCUAAUAAGUGCCCACAAGUCUGUAAUAAUUUAUCAGAAUAUAAAGUCCUUAACAGUACUGACUUUAAAAUUCAUGUAGAUUGUCUCCAGAUUUUCCUGAGGAAAAGUUCAUAGUUUACAUGUGUGAAUUUUGAAUAUAUUUCAUUCUUGUCUGCAAAUGUUGCCGAAACCUGUUAUUGAUGCACAAUGCACAUAGUCAUAUUAUGCAAAUGAUAGACCUCCUUUUUAAUUACAUGUCCUUAAGAUCAUGUCAACUCCUUUGUCUUAAUUGUAUAUACAAUUCUAGCAUUUAUAGCAUCAUUUGUAUAGCACUUGCUAGUUUAAUAAGGAUUUUAUUUUUUUUAAACUUUCAUUUGACAUGAUUGAUCUAAAACGGCCAAAAUUCACAAAUCUAUUUAAAUCACAACCUGACCUUAGGCCAGAAAAGUGCCACAGUGGGUUGAUAUUUUUCUCUUGGAUCUUGAAAGAAAUUCUUUAUGCAGCAGUUUCCAAAUAAAAUGUACUCUCAUGGCCAGGUAGGGACUUCAUCGAGAACUUUUUAACAUUGCACAAUGCAAUAUUUGUGGAUUAGAAGCUGUUGCAGUUUCUUUAAGUUUUCUCUCACAUCUUGUUAUAAUUAUAUUUUAUAUUUUUGGUCGGGUUGCACAAUGUUCAAACAGUUUAUAAAAUGGUGAAUGACUGGUGGGCAAGCGACAGUAGCGUCCCUGUAAUAGUACCUACUUUGUGUAAUCAACUCCUUUCACACCUCUCACUUGAUGUUCCUCAAACUUUGUACAGUUGUUAGGGAUACAUUGAAGAUGUGCGUGUACCUUUUUGAAAGUGAUCAGACGUUUUUUUGAAAAAUUUACAUGUAGUUAAACUUCGUCAUUUUUUAAGCAUUUCUUUAAUCGACAGUACCUAUUUUGUGUAAUCAACUCCUCGUAUACCUCUAAUUUGACAUUCCUCAAACUGUGUACAGUUGUUAUGAAUACAUUGAAGAUGUGCAUAUGUGUUUUUGAAAGUGAUCAGACAUUUAAAAAAAAAUGUACAUGUAGUUGAACUUAAGUCAUUUUAAAGCAUUUCUUGAAUAGAUGGUAACUAUUUUGCGUAAUCAAAUCCUCAUGCACCUCUAACUUGACAUUCCUUAAACUUUGUACAGUUGUUAUGAACACAUUGAAGAUGUGCAUGCGUCUUUUUGAAAAUGAUUAGACUUUUUUUUUUUUUUUAAUUACGUGUAGUUGAACUUGGUCAUUUUUUAUGCAUUUCUUGAAUAGAUGGUACUUAUUUUGUGUAAUCAACUCGUGUACAUCUAAAUUGAUAUUCCUCAAACUUUGUACAGUAGUUAUGGACACAUUGAAGAUGUGCAUGUGUCUUUUUGAAAGUGAUCAGACUUUUUAAAAAAAAAUUACAUUUAGUUGAACUUUGUCAUUUUUUCAAAGCAUUUCCUGAAUAGAUGGUACCUAUUUUUUGUAAUUAACUCCUCUUACAGCAUUUAUUUGACAUUCUUCAGACCUUGAACAGCUGUUAUGGAAGCAUUGUAAAUGUGCAUGUGUCUUUUCGGAAGUGAUCAGGCAUUCUUUGAAAAAUUUACAUGUGCAUGAUGAAGUUGAACUUAGUCAUUUUUUAAGCAUGGUACUUUAUGUAACCAACUCAGCUUGUACUUAACAUUUUCCAGACCCUGUACAUUAUAGAUGUUAUAAAAACAUUGAAGAUAUACAUGUAACAUUUUAAAAAUGCUUCUCUUUUUUCUUUUUUUGUUGUUGUUGAAAAAUUCUACCUUUAAUUUGUCAUUUUUCCAGUAUGUUUCUACUGUUGUUCCUAUGAUAGAUAACAUAUUUUACAAGAACCUGGUCAUUUCUGUUUUUGAAUCUUUUUUUUUUUAAUUAGUAUUUUUGAAUAUAUGUUAAUUACUUGAUAUGUCAUUGUUCUUGAAAUUAUAUUAAUUGAAUUAUUAUUGUGUUUUUGUUUUGUAAUAUGACAGUUUAUAUAGGAUCCCUUAAUUUCGAGCA